Phrynosoma platyrhinos (Desert horned lizard) is the source of this 65-nucleotide non-coding RNA. NCBI's taxonomy places the organism in Eukaryota, Metazoa, Chordata, Lepidosauria, Squamata, Phrynosomatidae. The record is from the annotation of a GenBank genome assembly.
GCAUGGUCUAGUGGUUUGAGUGUUGGACCAUGACUCCGAAGGCCGGGGUUCAAUUUCCUGCUCCA